Non-coding RNA from Agelaius phoeniceus (red-winged blackbird), 188 nucleotides. Lineage: Eukaryota; Metazoa; Chordata; Aves; Passeriformes; Icteridae. The record is from RefSeq and is a predicted model, not a curated record.
AUGGCCCGGAGAAUGGCGAGCGCAAGGAGCGCCGGGCAGGAUCCUUCUGAUGGCACAGGGUACUCAGGAAAUAUUUUUCCCUUAGAGUCCCACUGAAACAUUCUCCGUGCAAUCUCCGUUAAGUGCCAGGAGUCUGGAGAAACUGGAGAAGAGCCCAAGAGACAUUUUUCAUCCUGAGAUACAAAAGG